This 1098-nucleotide ribosomal RNA is filed under the name Triticum aestivum (bread wheat). RNAcentral's name for it is "partial small subunit ribosomal RNA". The record is from RNAcentral. Lineage: Eukaryota; Viridiplantae; Streptophyta; Magnoliopsida; Poales; Poaceae.
AUGGAUCAUAAAGGGGAUCUCGUCUUCGCGAAAAUUAUGGAACGGGUGCUCUGCUUCGAAUAUAUGCACGGUGGAAGCCUCGAUAAACAUAUUACAGAUGAAUCUUGUAAGCUUGAUUGGCCCAUAUGCUACAAAAUCAUCAGAGGGACUUGUGAGGGCUUACAUCACCUUCACACCGCGCAGGAGAAGCCUAUUUUCCAUCUAGACAUAAAACCAGCCAACAUAUUGCUGGAUAAGAGCAUGACGCCUAAAAUCGCGGAUCUUGGUUUGUCCAAACUUGUUUCUUCGACAUUAACACAUAAAACAGAGAUUGCCAAAGGGACACAAGGAUACAUGCCCCCGGAAUAUGUAGAAAGUGGCUUUGUAUCAAAGAAGUUUGAUGUAUUCAGUUUGGGAGUGGUGAUUAUAAAAAUGAUGGCCGGUAAUAUGGGCUACUUCUGUCGUGCUGAAAAGUCUCCCAAAGACUUCAUUGAGCAUGUAACUGAAAACUGGACGAGAAGGUUGCAGGAAAAGCCUGGAUAUUCCUCGCACCAAAUAGAUAUCCUCCGAGUGAGUACAACUGUGGAGAUUGCACUAAGGUGUGUGGCCAAGGACAGAAAAGAAAGGCCAUCUAUCAAGGACGUCGUCCAUGAACUUGCGGAACUAGAAGCUAAGAUUGAGAAAAUGUCACUAGCUUCUGAUCUGCCAAAAGACCUCACUUUCCAGAGAAGCUGCAACGCUAACAUUCUGUCGGUGGAUCCGCCCAGGGUGCUGAGGUUCCUCUUUGAGCUAAGGAAGGAAGCGUCGUGCUGCCUGCACCUAACCAACAACACGGGUGGCUUCAUCGCAUUCAACAUAUUGAUCGAUAAGAACAAGUACAGUGUGCGGCCAGGCCAAGGGACCAUCCCUCCAUUCUACAGCCGUGACGUGGUCGUGAUUCUGCAAGCGCAGGAGGCGGCGCCGCCAUACAUGCGGUGCGACGACAAGCUCGUCGUGCAGAGCACCAGCAUCAGCCAAGAUCUUGUGAUCGAUUAUGAAGAAUUGUUCAAGACGGCCAUGGCGAAUGAGUUGGUUGAUGUUGUGAAGCUGGGAGUCGCUUAUGUCACAUUGGACCAGUAG